UCCUGGGAGGAUGAAGGCCACACGGGGAAGCGGGGUGACUGCUGCCCCUGCCCUCACUGGCUCCCAGCUCCCUAUUUCCUGAGCCUCAGUCUCCUCCAGUGUCCUCUCCUGUCCACUCCCUCUGCUGAAUGGUCACAACAUGAUGAUGAAUGGACAGGAUCAUUAACUAUUAACAGACAGUGAAUUUCUAAGGCUCUUGUCUGUGGCAUUUGAAACUGCGUAGAAGAGCUGGGCUAGUUCUCCAUGCCAGCCCUUCCCUGGUCCCCUGGCCAAACGGAAAAACCAAGAACAAUGCAGCAGGGUUUUACCAAGUUAAAAUUUAUUCCACCGAGAAGCCCCAAAUGACCCUGUUCAGGAUCUCUGAGGCUGAGAAACCAAUGGUGUCCGGAAAUCACCAAUGAAACGAACUGGUAAAAUAACUUAAUGUAUCAAAUGGAAGCAUCUAGAAACUGUUCUCUUUAGCCUUCUCCCAGGCAAGACUGUCCUCCGGCUGCAUCCCAGAGCCUUUGUGCCAAGAGAGGUGGGGGUGGGUAGAAAGUGGAGGGGUAUCUGUUUCAUAGUGGAGCCUGUCAGGGCUUGGGAAAGUCCACCCCGCAAAAAUGCCCCCCUCCACCCGCCAAUUACAAAUGAGUUGUGUUUGCUCACGCCUUCUACUUGAAAUGCAAAUGUUCACUGGGAAGAUGAGGGGUGACCGAGAAAAGAAUGAAUUGCUUUAGUGGGAAUUCCUUCACCACACAAAGAGCUCUGCACGGGCCAGUGGAAGACGCUGUGAGGGAGCUCGGGCUGGGAAGUCUGGGUGGCAUCCAGCCAGGAGGAGGAGACAGCCAUGGUUUGGGCUUCAGGCUUCAUGAUCUGGGUAUGUGGGAAUGGAUGUGAACUUGAGGAAGUGCAAGGUAGCCAGGGGCGGGGUAGCAGGGAACUACCCUCUGUGAGCCUCACCCCUGCCUCACAAGGCAGCCCUCAGUCACCGCUACCCCAGGCUCUUCUGGUCACCAGACAUUUCCUGGGUUUGUCUUGGUUUCUCCUCCUUGCUCCUUCCUGGGCAAAAGCAUUUAGAGCCAUGUCCCGUUGGCACCCAGGAUUAUUUAUGAUGGGACAUCUCCCAAGGGGACACAUUCCUUCUCGGGGUCUCAAAGCCCAUGGUUUAAGGCUAUAGGCUACACUGUCAUCUGUCUGGCCCAGCUUUUUGGACACUUUCUCCAGGUGCCCAGGUAGGACAUAUGGCAACUUAUUAAAUCUUUAGAACAACUCCAUGGGGGGAGGUGUUUAUUUAUUCCUGUUUUUUUUUUUUGGUUUUUCGAGACAGGGUUUCUCUGUGUAGCUUUGCGCCUUUCCUGGAUCUCACUCUGUAGAACAGGCUGGCCUCGAACUCACAGAGAUCCGCCUGCCUCUGCCUCCCGAGUGCUGGGAUUAAAGGCGUGCGCCACCACCGCCCGGCUAUUUAUCCCUGUUUUACAAAUAAGGAAACUGAGACAUGAAGAGGUUAAAUGACCCGCCUAGAGCUGUACAGUGGCCAACCGGGAUUUAGUCCCCCCAAAUCUAGCUUCAGAGACCAAGCAGGUAACCACUGUACCAGGGCUGGGUGGGUUACAUAGUUACUAUGCUAGGAAAACUCAGAGCACAUGUGCAAAAGGGAAAUUCAAAUGGGGGUGGGAGCAGGAGAGUGCACAUGAGCUUGGGGCGGGGCCCGAGAAGCCGCGUUUCCACCCACGGCUAGGCAAUACUGAGGCUCAUUGGCAUCUCUUGGAGUCUGCAAAGUGGCAGAGCAUGGUGGCUAAGUAAUUUAGGCUCGAGAGUCAGACAGAGAUGCCUGGGCUGAAACCCCAGUUCUUCUGGUUACUUACUGCAUGACCUUGAGUAAUUUAACCCAAAUCCACAAUUCCUUCCAAAUCUAUGGUAAUAGUUCCCAGUUAGGGGGGCCAUGAGAGACACUGCAUCUUUCUUAACAUCCUAGAAGAGGAGACACAAAGACCAGGCAGGGCCAGACCGAGGACCGCUGUGCCCAGGCUAACAGGUAUCUUUGAGCGUCAUCUGAGUAACAGGCGACAAUAAAGACCCACCCUGAUGUCAUAUGCAGGACGGUACAGGGAUGUCUAAUCAGGGAGCUGUGUGGGUGGGCCACCCAAGACUGGUGACGCAUCAAGACAGGACAAGCGAGGUCAGAGUCCAGCAAAACGGUCCUCCAAACCCAGACACCGGAGCCUUCGGGUGGCUUGAUGCUGGUCUCCGAUGGAUCUCAUGAACGGCCCCCGAAAACUAAAUUCCCAUUCCCCGAGAUCAUCCAAUUAACCAAUUCACGAGCUGCCGGCGUCUGAGAAGCAGUCUUCUAGAAGGCACAUGUUUUUGGUUCGGUUUUGUUUGUUUUGUUUUAAAGCCUGGAAGGUGAAGGAAAUAAUCCCUAACAGUAGAACCUUCUAGACAUUUGGGUGUCGGGGUGUUUAUACGAGAAAAACCGGCUCACAGGUGUCUGAGACCCAUUCUGUUCCGUUGGGUGCUGGAGUUUUGUUUGUUCUUAAACCUUUACAGGGUUUAAAAUAAGGUAGGGAUGUGAAAUGAAGAACCUGGUUUAGGAGGGAGGGAACACUCGGAAACAAAACAAUGGUUUGGUCAGCUAUUCAACACGCAGUUCACCGAGUGGUAAAUAUAAAGCUGUGUCGCUCGGUGCAUCCCAACAGAAGAGUCAACAGGACACUCAGCUCAGGGCUUAUCGGCAUCUUAUCUGCUUCCUUUUAGAAUCUGACCAGUCACGGUCAUAUAGCUAGAGUGAGUUUUUCUGGAAUCUCAGUCAUAGGGCAGUAGGUGCUAUAUAGCCUCUGUAUUUCCUGGGCAACCUGGAGGUAAGGGGAAGAGCAGGGAUGGGAGGUUGGGGUGGGGAGUAGGGGGCGGCGCUGGGCUCAGGCCUGGCCUCUGGGACCCAAAGCAGUUAAGGGGGGUGCUGGGAAACCCACAAGCCUCUCCCUGAGUUUUCUGCCUGCCUCAGAGCAGGUGAGUUUAAAGGAGACACAAUCCUGGCAAGAAAGCAUUAAGAAACAACUGAGAACAGUUCAUUGGCACGAGAAUUCAAUAGGCUUUUCUAUCGUUUCUUUAAUCUCGCUCCUGAGAGCACUGAUUCUUAAUGUUCGCACACUGAGGCGGGUGGAGAUCAGCUCGUGGCCACGUGCCUAUACUGUCCCUUUUAAUCCUCACCCAUUUUAUUUCCAGGAGGGAACUGUUCUCCACCAGGGUCAUCGCUCACUCUCUGGAGAUGCCUGGCAGAUGCAAUCUCCAUGCACCAAAGGCGACUCUCUAAAGGAUGUUCUUGUCACCCGCCUAAUCUUUUAUACCUAUUUUAAGGAAAGUGAAGGAAAGGUGGCCUGGCCAACUUCCUGUUUUAUAUAUAUAGUAUCUCUUGACACUUGAAAAUCAAGCGAUGAACAGAAUUUAAGAGACUGUCCAGUUACAAGGUUUCAGUGGCACCCAACAACUUGAAAAUCAAGCAUGGUCAGACUGUCCUGGUCCCCUCUCCUCCUUUUCCCCUAGGAUUCCUCAGCCCAGAUGCAAGGACUCUUCACAAGGACAUUUGCAUUGAAGAUUCUCCCUUACAGAAUGUUCUUCCCAUUACUUUUUUUGGGGGAAGGGGAGCUUCGCUCAUUUCUCAAGGGGGUUUCACACAACCUAACUGGGGGAGCUUCCCUUGACUCCGUUCCCUUUAAAUUUCCUGCAUCAAUUCAUCCAUUUUCAUAGCAUGUUCUCCAAAUGACUCCCUCCAUCCAUGUCCACAUCAUGUCCCCUGCAGGUAAGCUGGUCAAGGGUGGGGACAGUGUCUGCUCUAGCCCAGGACCAGCACAGGUGAAGGUUGGUAGGAGGUGCAGAUACAUACUUCAUGAAUGAAAGCCAUGGCUGUGACUGAGGAAAAGUCAAUGGGGUUAAACUUGUAAGCCAUCAAAGACGCAUUAAAGCACUUGGCAACAGU
Long non-coding RNA from Peromyscus californicus insignis, 3952 nucleotides. RefSeq lists it as uncharacterized. NCBI's taxonomy places the organism in Eukaryota, Metazoa, Chordata, Mammalia, Rodentia, Cricetidae. The record is from RefSeq and is a predicted model, not a curated record. The transcript is spliced from 2 exons.